This 490-nucleotide ribosomal RNA is filed under the name uncultured bacterium. RNAcentral's name for it is "partial 16S ribosomal RNA". It matches the Rfam family "Bacterial small subunit ribosomal RNA", at positions 30 to 507 of the family's 1533-position model. The record is from RNAcentral.
AUUGAACGCUGGCGGCAGGCCUAACACAUGCAAGUCGAACGGUAACAGGGAUCAGCUUGCUGAUUCGCUGACGAGUGGCGGACGGGUGAGUAAUGUCUGGGAAACUGCCUGAUGGAGGGGGAUAACUACUGGAAACGGUAGCUAAUACCGCAUAACGUCGCAAGCCCAAAGAGGGGGACCUUCGGGCCUCUUGCCAUCGGAUGUGCCCAGAUGGGAUUAGCUAGUAGGUGGGGUAACGGCUCACCUAGGCGACGAUCCCUAGCUGGUCUGAGAGGGUGACCAGCCACACUGGAACUGAGACACGGUCCAGACUCCUACGGGAGGCAGCAGUGGGGAAUAUUGCGCAAUGGGCGCAAGCCUGAUGCAGCCAUGCCGCGUGUAUGAAGAAGGCCUUCGGGUUGUAAAGUACUUUCAGCGGGGAGGAAGGGAGUAGAGUUAAUACCUUUGCUCAUUGACGUUACCCGCAGAGGAAGCACCGGCUAACUCCGUG